AGCGAACGCUGGCGGCAGGCUUAACACAUGCAAGUCGAGCGGGCGUAGCAAUACGUCAGCGGCAGACGGGUGAGUAACGCGUGGGAACGUACCUUUUGGUUCGGAACAACACAGGGAAACUUGUGCUAAUACCGGAUAAGCCCUUACGGGGAAAGAUUUAUCGCCGAAAGAUCGGCCCGCGUCUGAUUAGCUAGUUGGUGAGGUAACGGCUCACCAAGGCGACGAUCAGUAGCUGGUCNGAGAGGAUGAUCAGCCACAUUGGGACUGAGACACGGCCCAAACUCCUACGGGAGGCAGCAGUGGGGAAUAUUGGACAAUGGGCGCAAGCCUGAUCCAGCCAUGCCGCGUGAGUGAUGAAGGCCCUAGGGUUGUAAAGCUCUUUCAGCCCUGACGAAGCGAGAGUGACGGUAGGGCAGAAGAAGCACCGGCCAACUACGUGCCAGCAGCCGCA
RNAcentral lists this ribosomal RNA (451 nucleotides) under uncultured bacterium. RNAcentral's name for it is "bacterial SSU rRNA". It matches the Rfam family "Bacterial small subunit ribosomal RNA", at positions 29 to 519 of the family's 1533-position model. The record is from RNAcentral.